This 411-nucleotide ribosomal RNA is filed under the name Lomographa temerata. RNAcentral's name for it is "eukaryotic LSU rRNA". Lineage: Eukaryota; Metazoa; Arthropoda; Insecta; Lepidoptera; Geometridae. The record is from RNAcentral.
UGCGAAACUCGAAUGAACGAACGGGGAGAUUCAUCGUCAUUCCGCGGCGCGCUGGCAUCGGUCCGAUGUGUGGGGUCUCGGUCCCGCUCACGUCCGGCGCCAGCGGCGUCCGCGGACGGCGUGCACUUCUCCCUUAGUAAUACAUCGCGACCCGUUCGAUGUCGGUCUAAGUGCCUCCCGGGAGUCUCCGCACCCUUCAAACGGUGUGGAUACCGCGGAGUGUCACCGACCGGCCGUCGGACGGUAUAUUUAACGAAACGCUCACGCGCUCGCGCGCGUCCGGCCCGACGCAAGGCAACGUCGUAUAUCGCCUCCUGCCCGAGUGCGGUGGUGGUUACGGCGCGUCUGUCGUCGCAGCCGUGCUGUCUCGGACUGUGUGCGUAUCCGUCUGCGAUGAUUCAGUUUCGGGCA